CUCUGGGUGGUGGAAGACAAGAGUAAGGGAAUUUCAGAAGGAUUUGGGACUUUCUGCUGUGGAAUUGCAUUGUGAACAGCUUCAGACCCUGUUCUGGGGGUCCUCCCAUGAUUUGUGAGAGCAAACACCACUAAAAGUCAAGGUUUGUUGUCACAUCUUCUUGGCUGUUUCCUGGUGCAGAGAUCCUGACAUCUCCAAAUACAGCUGCAAAAUGAGUAUGUAAGUAUAUCUGUGCUCUCAACCAUAUGCAUCAUCAGUGGCAUAGGUUUUUCUCUAACAUAUUUUGAGGUGAUUUAUGCUUUUAUUUGUGAUGUCAUGGUCUUUUGAACCAUUUUCAUUUAACAUUGAGCAAAACUUCUCAUUACUCCUCUGGUUAAAAAUUAUGCAAAUAAUAAACAAGCCACCUGCAGUGUUUUUUUUAAUAGGACUGCCCUUCCAUGGAACAACUGUGAUAAAAACAACUUCAUAGCUUGUAUUUAUUAACUGCUUUUUCAUUAUUUGAUAUGUUUGUUUUUCUCGAUUUAAAAUUGUAAAUUAUAAAGAUGAGGUUUUGAGUUUUAAAAUUAUAAAGAUGAGGUUUUGAGGUUUUGACUUUUGCUGAAGAAAACUGCCUGGUUUAAAAGAACUUGCUGUAUUGAGACAAGGUAUGAGGGAAUGCCAGUAUUUAUUUUUGUACCUGUUUCUCUCUUUCCUGGAGAUACAGGGUGUGCUGGACUUCUGUCACUGUGAGUGGUUUUUAUAAACAGUUUUCUCCACAUUUUCCUGUUACCUGAUUGAGGUGUGCUAUUGAGAAUCCUGAGGAUCUCAGUGAAAGCUAGUGUAAAUAAUUCAAAGUUCCUUCCUAGGUACUGAGCAACUAAGUACUACGUAGUCAAUAGUGAUUUACUAGCAGAACAUCACCUACUUCUUACAGAGUUUUUUGUGAUUUUUUUUUUUAUUUUACUGGAAAAACUUCAGGCUGUAUCAGCUAACAAUAGCUACACUAUCAGCAAAUAUUAUUACCUACAUAUUUUUCCUUAUUCUUUUUCAUUCCUAGUUUGCUCCACUGCUUCUGUGACCUACCUGUGUUAAACACUCUGUUACCUGUGUCUUUGGAUGAACUUCAUGUAAGGACAAAAUACACAGCAGCUGGUGAUGACAUUUAAAGAUAAAAAGCCAAAACAAAUACCUUCAAGUAUUUUUCCAUUCUUUGACGUGUACCCCACGGUAUUUUAAUGCCUGUUGUCAUAAGAGAUGGACCAAAAAAGCCAUUUUUUCCUAUCAGCGGCUCCUCCCUCUCCCUGCCUGCCUCUAUUCCUGCCUCCCCCUUCUCCAAACCAAACCAAACCCUUAUUUGGAUUCUGUCUGCAGCUGACCUGAAUGAGGAGAAAAUAAAAACACUUCAACAGAGGCAUAUUUUACUAAGUAUCCCGACCUUAAUUCAUUGUCUGGCCGAUUGUGCAGAUCCUUGUCUAACGAUUUUCUGUUGUUCCCUGAGGCCAGAGGCUUCCUCUGCAGCCUGGUGAAGUUCCUCUUACUAUUGAAGGACUCCUCUUGCUUCAGCAAGAAUUUUGGGACAAAAAUAGAACUUUAAUUGGAAAACUAAGCUGGUGUCAUGUAGAAAUGUAGGGAGCUCAGAAGAACUGGAAGGAUUGAUGUGUCAUAAUUGGAUUGAAUCUGUCAGCACAGAGAGAGCAAGUGCAGAAACUGAGGUGAGGUGAGUUGGGUUUGCUGUGAAUGACUUUCAGAGCUGGGUUGUCAGAUAAUGAGUGUUCUUGCCAGUGAAUUGUUGGUUUGCAGCUUUUUAUCAUGCUAAAUAAGCUUCCUCAUGGCCCAUUCUCCAACUUCCUUCUCUACAAGUAAGAGUGGAGUUAUCUAAGAUCUCAUCACUAAUGCUACUCAGUGCAGCAGUAGUUCCUCAGCAGCCUUCAGUCCAAGGCUUUACUAUUUGACCAGUUUUGUCUCUCAAACAGUUUUUUAUUGCCUGUCUGUAAAUUAAUCUUCUGUAUUUUUAAGCACCUGCCACAAACAUUUCAGCAUUUGCCAAUUUUGGAUCUAAAAAUGUCUGCUCAGUUAUACCAUGGUAGAUCCACACUGAAUUCCCACAGCUGUAAGUGAAUUCUGAUAGACUGAGUGCUGCUGCCUCUUGAUCUAAGUUUGGAAUGAAAAGAGGAAGAAUGGAUUAAACCUCCUGUUUUCAUUUCCAUCGUGACCUCUGAAUACUUUUUCUUUUAGUGUAAGUGAAGUUACCACUAAGUCAGUGACCUCUAACUCUGACUGACUAGUGUACACACAAACCACAUCCCCAUUCUUUACCAGAAAGCUUUUCAAAUUCCUCUCUUGUUAGCACACAGAACAUACUUGGAAGCCAUGCACUAGAAGCUCCAGCAUUCCCAAUUCUCUGGAAGUGUGGUUCUAUGUGAAACCUUAUUUCUGCUAUUCAGGCAUUUACAGAAAAUGACAUUUUAGAGCUGUCACUCUGUGGGUUUGAUUUUCCAGGCCAGUGCAGCAUCCCACACUUCUCCAAGCUCUCCCCAUUCUCUCACUCCAUGGUACAUUAGACACACACUUCUUCAAGCAAUUUCCCACAGAAUUAAUGUUCCCUUUUUUCUUUCAGGAGUUUCACCAUUUCUCCCUCUGGUCAGGUCUCCAAUAGCUACUUCUGUGUUCACCAUCGUGUGAAUCAGAGUCACCCAGGCUGUGGGUGAACCAACAGUAUGAGCAGUACCUCGACAAGAGGAGCAGUUUCUUUCCAAGUCUGUCAGCUGUCUGUCUGUCAACACAUAAUCAUUCAUUUCCUGAGCAGAAGUACUGCAUCCCAUCAGCUGUGAUACUCUUGACAGGGAUCCUUUUCACUGUAGGUCUUCCUGCCUUCCACUUGCAAAUGAAGGGAAGCUUCUAGCAAGCCAAGUUCUGCUCAUCAUGUUUCAAAGCUUCGGGAAGACAGGAAGUAUUUAGGUAAGGAGAAGCUGUGCCUUUGGCCCUUCGUAUUCACCCUGUGAUGGGGGUACAAUAAACUUUUGGACACAA
Haemorhous mexicanus (house finch) is the source of this 3009-nucleotide long non-coding RNA. RefSeq lists it as uncharacterized. The transcript has 2 exons. The record is from RefSeq and is a predicted model, not a curated record. NCBI's taxonomy places the organism in Eukaryota, Metazoa, Chordata, Aves, Passeriformes, Fringillidae.